Molecule: ribosomal RNA, 253 nt
Filed under: uncultured bacterium
Lineage: Bacteria
Description: partial 16S ribosomal RNA
Rfam family: Bacterial small subunit ribosomal RNA
Source: RNAcentral
UACGUAGGGCGCAAGCGUUAUCCGGAAUUAUUGGGCGUAAAGAGCUCGUAGGCGGUUUGUCGCGUCUGCCGUGAAAGUCCGGGGCUCAACUCCGGAUCUGCGGUGGGUACGGGCAGACUAGAGUGAUGUAGGGGAGACUGGAAUUCCUGGUGUAGCGGUGAAAUGCGCAGAUAUCAGGAGGAACACCGAUGGCGAAGGCAGGUCUCUGGGCCAUUACUGACACUGAGGCGCGACAGCGUGGGGAGCAAACAGG